This is a non-coding RNA of Nicotiana tabacum (common tobacco), 683 nucleotides long. NCBI's taxonomy places the organism in Eukaryota, Viridiplantae, Streptophyta, Magnoliopsida, Solanales, Solanaceae. The record is from RefSeq and is a predicted model, not a curated record.
UCGUCUCUCAUCUUACAUCGCUCACUCCCCGUCGUCUUUGCCGCCGGAAAUCGCCAAUAACCUCAAACUUUCACCAAAUAAUCCCCACCCUCUCCUCUUUCCAAAUCCAUUAACCUUUCCCUUCAAAACCUUCCCGUUUUUGUUUGUAGAUCUAUGAAACCAAACCCUAGCCGCCACUUGCCCCCUUUUCAAUUUCUCGACUAAUUUUCCUCUUUACGGUUGGAAUUUACAUCAGUUGAGAUCUCUUGAUGAGAUUUAUCCAUUGAUGUAAAACUCAGUCUGUUUCUUAGAGGUCAUAUUUUGGUCAACCAGUCGUUGUCCGGCAAGAACCUGACUGAGGUCACCCCUUUUGUUUUAUCUCGAGUUCAAAUAGCUCGAAUAUGACUUUAAGGAAGAUGGAAAUACAUGGAAGCAUGUUGAGUAUGAGAUAGUAAAGGUCUUUCUUUGGACAAUGAGUUUCACGACUAUAUAGUUUAAACAUAGUGUAAUGGAAGCUCAAGGAUGACUGUAAUUCAUUAGAAUAGUUAUUUGUGUAAUAUUGAACCGAUAUGUAAAUUUCUAUAAUUAUUCUAGUCUGUUAUAAUUAAAUAUAAAUUUUGGAUGAUCUUAUGAUAAUAAUUGAGGCCAUGGGAAAAUGUGAGCCUGUAAUAGUAUUUAUCAAUAGUAAUGAUAAAUUUGCAAAA